Peptoniphilus duerdenii ATCC BAA-1640 is the source of this 143-nucleotide regulatory RNA element. It matches the Rfam family "glmS glucosamine-6-phosphate activated ribozyme aptamer". Rfam says of the family: This entry contains a glucosamine-6-phosphate activated ribozyme that is found in the mRNA for GlmS. GlmS is an enzyme that uses fructose-6-phosphate and glutamine to generate glucosamine-6-phosphate. The record is from Rfam. Lineage: Bacteria; Bacillati; Bacillota; Tissierellia; Tissierellales; Peptoniphilaceae.
AAAAAUCUUGAAGCGCCAGAACCUUUUUGGUUGACGAGGAGUGAGAUCAUCGAAAAUUCGGCGGAUGUCUCAAAGGUACCACAGCCUAAGUGCCAUACAAAUAUGCGAGUAAUCGCAAAACAAAAUUGGCAAAGUGGGGCCGA